AUGUCUGACAUGGAGGAUGAUUUCAUGUGCGAUGAUGAGGAGGACUAUGACCUGGAAUACUCUGAAGAUAGUAACUCCGAGCCAAAUGUGGAUUUGGAAAAUCAGUACUAUAAUUCCAAAGUAUUAAAAGAAGAAGACCCAAAAGCAGCAUUAAGCAGUUUCCAAAAGGUUUUGGAACUUGAAGGUGAAAGAGGAGAAUGGGGAUUUAAAGCACUGAAACAAAUGGUUAAGAUUAACUUUAUUCAAGUUGACAAACUUUCCAGAAAUGAUGAAUAGAUAUAAACAGCUAUUGACCUAUAUUCAGAGUGCUGUCACAAGAAAUUAUUCUGAAAAAUUCAUUAAUUCUAUUCUUGAUUAUAUCUCUACUUCUAAACAGAUGGAUUUACUGCAGAAAUUCUAUGAAACAACUCUGGAAGUUUGAAAGAUGCUAAGAAUGAUAGACUGUGGUUUAAGACAAACACAAAACUUGGAAAAUUAUAUUUAGAACGAGAGGAGUAUGGAAAACUUCAAAAAAUUUUACACCAGUUAUAUCAGUCCUGCCAGACUGAUGAUGGAGAAGAUGGUCUGAAAAAGGGUGCACAGUUAUUAGAAAUAUAUGCUUUGGAAAUUCAGAUGUACACAGCACAGAAAAAUAACAAAAAAUCUAAAGCACUCUAUGAACAGUCACUUCACAUCAAGUCUGCCAUCCCUCAUCCACUGAUCAUGGGAGUUAUCAGAGAAUGUGGUGGUAAAAUGCACUUGAGAGAAGGUGAAUUUGAAAAGGCACACACUAAUUUUUUUGAAGCCUUCAAGAAUUAUGAUGAAUCUGGAAAUCUGAGACUAACUACUUGCUUAAAAUAUUUGGUCUUAGCAAAUAUGCUUAUGAAAUCAGGAAUAAAUCCAUUUGACUCACAGGAGGCAAAGCCGUACAAAAAUGAUCCAGAAAUUUUAGCAAUGACAAAUUUAGUAAAUGCCUAUCAGAAUAAUGACAUCACUGAAUUUGAAAAGAUUCUAAAAACAAAUCACAGCAACAUCAUGGAUGAUCCUUUUAUAAGAGAACACAUUGAAGAGGUUUUGUGAAACAUCAGAGCACAAGUGCUUAUAAAAUUAAUUAAACCUUACACAAGAAUACAUAUUCCUUUUAUUUCUAAGGAAUUAAACAUAGAUGUAGCGAUGUGGAGAGCUUGCUGGUGCAGUGCAUAUUGGAUAACACUAUUCAUGGCUGAAUUGAUCAAGUCAACCAGCUCCUUGAACUGGAUCAUCAGAAGAGGAGUGGUGCACGAUAUACUGCACUAGAUCAAUGGACCAACCAACUAAAUUCUCUCAACCAGGCUGUAGUCAGUAAACUGGCUUAACAGAGAACAGAUAUCCUCAAGGCAACAGUACAGAGAUGUAAUCCUUAAAAGAACUGGGAAUGGCAAAACUACUGUCAGUUGAUGUGUCCUGAAAAUUACUGGAGUUAUGGCAGAAGUGCUUUUUUUGAUCAACUGGUUUGUGUUUUGCUGCUGCAUUUAUCCCAAGAAAAACAGCUUUAAUCUCCAGAAGAAAACCAAAAUACCAUGGAAUUUAUGCUGUAUUGACAUCUUGCCCUAAACAUACAACAUGAUAGUAAUUUGUCAUGGGCAAUAUGACCAGAGAGAAGAUUUUUGUCAUGAUUUUAAAUACACUGACAUGCUACUGUUGGUUAAAUUUAAACAUGUUUUACGUGCAGAAAUUCUUUCACAAAUAACCUGCAAUAACUUGAAAUGCAUACCCUUUUGAACACUUCCUUUUCUCAUGUAUAAAUUAAAAUGUUUGCUGCAUUUUGCAAAAUGUCAAUUCUC
Molecule: non-coding RNA, 1802 nt
Organism: Callithrix jacchus (white-tufted-ear marmoset)
Lineage: Eukaryota; Metazoa; Chordata; Mammalia; Primates; Cebidae
Source: RefSeq, a predicted model, not a curated record